GUAGGUGGCAAGCGUUGUCCGGAAUUAUUGGGCGUAAAGCGCGCGCAGGGCGGGAUCAGUCAGUCUGUCUUAAAAGUUCGGGGCUUAACCCCGUGAUGGGAUGGAAACUGCUGAUCUAGAGUAUCGGAGAGGAAAGUGGAAUUCCUAGUGUAGCGGUGAAAUGCGUAGAUAUUAGGAAGAACACCAGUGGCGAAGGCGACUUUCUGGACGAAAACUGACGCUGAGGCGCGAAAGCCAGGGGAGCGAACGGGAUUAGAUACCCCGGUAGUCCUGGCCGUAAACGAUGGGUACUAGGUGUAGGAGGUAUCGACCCCUUCUGUGCCGGAGUUAACGCAAUAAGUACCCCGCCUGGGGAGUACGACCGCAAGGUUG
RNAcentral lists this ribosomal RNA (372 nucleotides) under uncultured organism. RNAcentral describes it as "partial 16S ribosomal RNA". It matches the Rfam family "Bacterial small subunit ribosomal RNA", at positions 527 to 896 of the family's 1533-position model. The record is from RNAcentral.